RNAcentral lists this microRNA precursor (80 nucleotides) under Lepisosteus oculatus (spotted gar). RNAcentral's name for it is "microRNA 147b (ENSLOCG00000018607.1)". It matches the Rfam family "mir-147 microRNA precursor family". The record is from RNAcentral. Lineage: Eukaryota; Metazoa; Chordata; Actinopteri; Semionotiformes; Lepisosteidae.
UAUCAAUCUAACGGAAUCAUUUCUGCACAGACUAGACUCUGAGAACCAGUGUGCGGAAAUGCUUCUGCUACAUUGGUAGG